AGUGAACGUUGGCGGCGUGGAUUAGGCAUGCAAGUCGAGCGAGAACCGUAGCAAUACGGGGACAGCGGCGAAAGGGACAGUAAUGUGUAGGUACCUACCCCGGGGUCUGGGAUAGCUGCGGGAAACUGCAGGUAAUACCGGAUAAUGUCUUCGGACCAAAGGUGUGAUUCCACCUUGGGAGGGGCCUGCAUCCUAUUAGCUUGUUGGCGGGGUAACGGCCCACCAAGGCAACGAUGGGUAGCGGGUGUGAGAGCACGACCCGCGUCAUUGGGACUGAGAUACUGCCCAGACACCUACGGGUGGCUGCAGUCGAGGAUCUUCGGCAAUGGGCGAAAGCCUGACCGAGCGACGCCGCGUGCGGGAUGAAGGCCUUCGGGUUGUAAACCGCUGUCGUAGAGGAGGAAAUGCAGGGGGGUUCUCCCUUCUGUUUGACCUAUUCUAGGAGGAAGGACGGGCUAAGUUCGUGCCAGCCGCCGCGGUAA
This 482-nucleotide ribosomal RNA is filed under the name uncultured bacterium. RNAcentral describes it as "partial 16S ribosomal RNA". It matches the Rfam family "Bacterial small subunit ribosomal RNA", at positions 28 to 523 of the family's 1533-position model. The record is from RNAcentral.